UGCAUGGCUGUCGUCAGCUCGUGUCGUGAGAUGUUGGGUUAAGUCCCGCAACGAGCGCAACCCUUGCCUUUAGUUGCCAGCAUUCAGUUGGGCACUCUAAAGGGACUGCCGGUGUUAAACCGGAGGAAGGUGAGGACGACGUCAAGUCCUCAUGGCCCCUAUGUCCAGGGCUACACACGUGCUACAAUGGACCGUACAAAGGGAAGCGAACCCGCGAGGAGGAGCAAAUCCCAAAAAAUGGUUCUCAGUUCGGAUUGGAGUCUGCAACUCGACUCCAUGAAGUUGGAAUCGCUAGUAAUCGCGGAUCAGCACGCCGCGGUGAUACGUUCCCGGGCCUUGUACACACCGCCCGUCACACCACGAAAGCUGACUGCACCAGAAGUCAUUGAGCUAACCCGCAAGGGAGGCAGGUGCCUAAGGUGUGGUUAGUGAUU
Molecule: ribosomal RNA, 434 nt
Filed under: uncultured delta proteobacterium
Lineage: Bacteria; Deltaproteobacteria
Description: bacterial SSU rRNA
Rfam family: Bacterial small subunit ribosomal RNA
Source: RNAcentral